CCCAGGGCCAGCCCGUUGCCCACCACCCCGGCCACAAACAUCAGCGCGCUGGUCACCGGCCCCCCGUUGCCCUGGACGUAGACCUCAGCUUCCUCACUGGGCUAAGCCAUCUCUAAGGGACUUUCCAGAGUCAGAUCCCACGAUUAGCCCAGGAUAUCAGACCCAGAGCAGCCUUCCCUUCUGCCAGCCUCCCCUCCUCCUCCAUACCAGUAAAGAUCCCGUACUGACAACUGGCAGCACAGCCUGAUAUCUGACACUUUCGAAGUUCCACCAGCCUCCUGGCCUCUUACCCACCCCCACUCCCGGGCGGGAGUUCUUCCUGUGCUUGCAUUCAUCAGGAAUUUGAAGAGAGAAUCAAGUGCCUUUUUCUUGAAGAUGAAAGCCUAAAAACCAUGCCCCCUAUUCUCCCAAGCUCUCAUCAACUCUGGGUUUCAGAAAUUGUGAAAAAAUAGAAAAGAAAUAAUGACGGGCGUGGCUUCAAAGAAUGGGAAGAUUUGUACCAACAUCCUACUCAGCCCCAGAGAAAAAAAUUAAUGGACUUAAAAUGAGGACUAAGGUGUAUAUUUUUGGACAUGGACAAUAUGGGAAUUUGUUUUGUUUAAGUACACAUCUUUGUAACAGGUUUUAUUUUUCUUGUCUUCUCAAUGGAGGGGAGAGGAUGCACGAUGGUGAGAAGUAGAAAGAAGAGAAGUUAGAAUUUGGUAAAAACAAAAAUAAAAUUUAAUUUAAACAAACAAAAAAAAGAAAGCGGGAAACAUGGAGUGAUUAAUCUCCAGUAGAGAGAUGUGCCUUAUGCAAAUAGGUAACAUUGACAAAAUUAUAAAGCACAAGCUUGGCCCCAAAGCAGGUAAAUGAGAAAACACUUCCCUUUGCUCCCUUGGAUGGAUAUGGAAUACUGUAGAUAACAUCAGAUUUUUUUUUAAUGUACUGAUUAUUGGUUUGUUUUUUCUCUCUUCUCUUUUUCUUUAUCUAAAAAAAAUUUGUCAUUAUGAAUGAUUCCCUGGAUAGAUGGAGAGGGAAGGAUACUAGGGAAAAUUGAGGUGAAAUAGAAUAAAAGAUAAUAAAAAAUCAUUUUUUUAAAAAUUAGGGGUAAAAAUUAAACAUUAUAUAAUAGAGAUAUGUUUUUGCAUGUAAUCUUCUUUCUGUUCUUUUAUGUGGAAGUGUUACUUGGUUUUUGUCAAAUUCAGAACAAUAAAUUAAUUAUCCUUUUUCAAAUGGAGUGCAAUAAUAGACUCUCAUAAAAGGGUAUCUAGAUACACCAGGAACACUUAAAACCUAAGAAUGGGAGUUUCAAAAGUAGGAAUUUUCAAGUCUUUAAUGAAUGGAAAUGCUAAUGUUGUGUUUUAUAAAUUUCAAUUCUAUCUAGCUUUGUUUAUUUCUUUGGAUCAUUUGAAGUUUGGAAGUCUUUCUGAUAAAUUUAUGAAAAAGAAUGAUGAAGCUAAAUGGAACCUAGGCAGAUAUUGGGAAAUUAGAAGUGUUUCCUGGCUCCUGAACAGAGAACUAGAUAAGCAGUCUAUAUUUACCCAAGUGAGAAAGAGGCCUGGAACUAUUAACUCAAGUUUGGAGCACCACCUGGUGGUUCAUACUGAGUUUUAUUCUGACUAGGUAUUCCAGGACACACCCCUGAGAGGAACAUGGGCGUUGACACCCAUCCACCUGCCAAGGAGUGGAUCCUUUAGUACUGAGAAAAGUCUUGAACAUUUUAUACUUAAGGUUGUUUCAUUUAGGCUUAAUUUCUUUUCCCCCAUUUAACUGAAAAAUAAUUGUCUGAAUUUCAUUUUUUUGGUUUUGUUUUUGUUUCUUUUAU
Sarcophilus harrisii (Tasmanian devil) is the source of this 1807-nucleotide long non-coding RNA. RefSeq lists it as uncharacterized. The transcript has 3 exons. The record is from RefSeq and is a predicted model, not a curated record. Lineage: Eukaryota; Metazoa; Chordata; Mammalia; Dasyuromorphia; Dasyuridae.